This 484-nucleotide ribosomal RNA is filed under the name uncultured bacterium. RNAcentral describes it as "partial 16S ribosomal RNA". It matches the Rfam family "Bacterial small subunit ribosomal RNA", at positions 30 to 507 of the family's 1533-position model. The record is from RNAcentral.
AUUGAACGCUGGCGGCAUGCCUAACACAUGCAAGUCGAGCGGACGAAGGGAGCUCGCUCCUGGAUGCAGCUGCCGACGGGUGAGUAAGGCCUAGGAAUCUGCCCUGCCUUUGGGGAUAACGUCCGGUAAGGGGACCUAAUAUCGCAUACGUUAUUAUGUUGAACGGCGUGGAUCUUCGGUCCUCACGCUACUAGAUGACCCUAAGUCGGAUUAGCUAGUUGGUGUGGUAAAGGCCUACCAAGGCGACGAUCCGUAACUGGUCUGAGAGGCUGAUCAGUCACACUGGAACUGAGACACGGUCCAGACUCCUACGGGAGGCAGCAGUAGGGAAUCUUCGACAAUGGGCGAAAGCCUGAUCGAGCCACGCCGCGUGUGUGAAGAAGGUCUUCGGAUUGUAAAACUCUGUUAGUUGGGAAGAAGAGAAGUAUGUGAAUAUCUGGAUGUUUUGACGUUACCAACAGAGUAAGCAACGGCUAACUUCGUG